RNAcentral lists this ribosomal RNA (438 nucleotides) under uncultured bacterium. RNAcentral describes it as "partial 16S ribosomal RNA". It matches the Rfam family "Bacterial small subunit ribosomal RNA", at positions 339 to 795 of the family's 1533-position model. The record is from RNAcentral.
CUACGGGACGCACCAGUGGGGAAUAUUGCACAAUGGAGGAAACUCUGAUGCAGCAACGCCGCGUGGAGGAUGACACUUUUCGGAGCGUAAACUCCUUUUAUAUAGGAAGAAGAUGACGGUACUAUAUGAAUAAGCGCCGGCUACUCCGUGCCAGCAGCCGCGGUAAUACGGAGGGCGCAAGCGUUACUCGGAAUCACUGGGCGUAAAGAGCGUGUAGGCGGAUUAAAAAGUCAGAAGUGAAAUCCUAUAGCUUAACUAUAGAACUGCUUCUGAAACUCUUAAUCUAGAAUAUGGGAGAGGUAGAUGGAAUUUCUGGUGUAGGGGUAAAAUCCGUAGAGAUCAGAAGGAAUACCGAUUGCGAAGGCGAUCUACUAGAACAUUAUUGACGCUGAGACGCGAAAGCGUGGGGAGCAAACAGGAUUAGAUACCCGGGUAGUC